GGAGUUUGGGCCGUGUCUCAGUCCCAAUGUGGCCGAUCAGUCUCUCAACUCGGCUAUGCAUCAUCGUCUUGGUAAGCCUUUACCCCACCAACUAACUAAUGCACCGCGGAUCCAUCUCUAGGUGACGCCGUAGCGCCUUUUAACUUGAUAUCAUGCGAUACUAAGUUUUAUUCGGUAUUAGCAUCUGUUUCCAAAUGUUAUCCCCAGCCUUGAGGCAGGUUAUCCACGUGUUACUCACCCGUUCGCCACUCGCUUGAAAGGUGCAAGCACCUCUCGCUGCGCGUUCGACUUGCAUGUAUUAGGCACGCCGCCAGCGUUCAUC
Molecule: ribosomal RNA, 322 nt
Filed under: uncultured Leuconostoc sp.
Lineage: Bacteria; Bacillati; Bacillota; Bacilli; Lactobacillales; Lactobacillaceae
Description: partial 16S ribosomal RNA
Source: RNAcentral